GCUCCGUUGGUGAACCAGCGGAGGGAUCAUUACCGAGUGCAAACUCAUAACCCUUUGUGAACCUAUAUCUGUUGCUUCGGCGGCUCGCUCUCGGGCGGGCCCGCCGGUAAUAUCAGUAUCUCUGUUUGAACCCGACGAUACUUCUGAGUGUUCUUAGCGAACAGUUAAAACUUUUAACAACGGAUCUCUUGGCUCUA
RNAcentral lists this unclassified non-coding RNA (197 nucleotides) under plant metagenome. Its description in RNAcentral is "partial contains small subunit ribosomal RNA, internal transcribed spacer 1, and 5.8S ribosomal RNA". The record is from RNAcentral.